This 497-nucleotide ribosomal RNA is filed under the name uncultured bacterium. RNAcentral describes it as "partial 16S ribosomal RNA". It matches the Rfam family "Bacterial small subunit ribosomal RNA", at positions 28 to 507 of the family's 1533-position model. The record is from RNAcentral.
GAUGAACGCUGGCGGCGUGCCUAAUACAUGCAAGUCGAGCGAACGGACGAGAAGCUUGCUUCUCUGAUGUUAGCGGCGGACGGGUGAGUAACACGUGGAUAACCUACCUAUAAGACUGGGAUAACUUCGGGAAACCGGAGCUAAUACCGGAUAAUAUUUUGAACCGCAUGGUUCAAAAGUGAAAGACGGUCUUGCUGUCACUUAUAGAUGGAUCCGCGCUGCAUUAGCUAGUUGGUAAGGUAACGGCUUACCAAGGCAACGAUGCAUAGCCGACCUGAGAGGGUGAUCGGCCACACUGGAACUGAGACACGGUCCAGACUCCUACGGGAGGCAGCAGUAGGGAAUCUUCCGCAAUGGGCGAAAGCCUGACGGAGCAACGCCGCGUGAGUGAUGAAGGUCUUCGGACCGUAAAACUCUGUUAUUAGGGUAGAACAUAUGUGUAAGUAACUGUGCACAUCUUGACGGUACCUAAUCAGAAAGCCACGGCUAACUACGUG